AUAUUCCUACGGGGGGCAGCAGUGGGGAAUUUUGCGCAAUGGGGGAAACCCUGACGCAGCAACGCCGCGUGCGGGACGAAGGCCCUCGGGCUGCAAACCGCUUUCAGCAGGGAAGACGUCGACGGUACCUGCAGAAGAAGCUCCGGCUAACUACGUGCCAGCAGCCGCGGUAAUACGUGGGGGGCGAGCGUUAUCCGGAUUCAUUGGGCGUAAAGCGCGCGUAGGCGGCCGCCUAAGCGGAACCUCUAACCCCGGGGCUCAACCUCGGGCCGGGUUCCGGACUGGGCGGCUCGAGCG
Molecule: ribosomal RNA, 297 nt
Filed under: uncultured bacterium
Lineage: Bacteria
Description: partial 16S ribosomal RNA
Rfam family: Bacterial small subunit ribosomal RNA
Source: RNAcentral